GGAGGUGGAAGAAAAGUAUCUUCAGUCUGAGCAUUGUGUUCAUGACUUGAAGACUGCCUUGGAUGAUAAGGAAAGAGAAGCAACAGUUUCUGCCCAGAAACUGCAGGACCACCUGUUGGCAUCUUCUGAGACUAACACUACUAUAAAACAACUGGAAGAACACGUUCAACACCUUGAAAUUGAAAACACCAGAUUGGAAGCAACAGUCCAACAACAAAACAAUAGGAUUGAAGCCCUACAGAGAGACCUGCAAGCUUCUGCCUCAGUUCAUAACCGCCUGGAGGACUUGAUAACGAGCUUACAGACAGCUCAGGCAGCUGCAGAGGACCACCAUAAGCAGGUGCAAAGGCAGAAUGUGCUGGCUCUGU
Molecule: long non-coding RNA, 368 nt
Filed under: Malurus cyaneus samueli
Lineage: Eukaryota; Metazoa; Chordata; Aves; Passeriformes; Maluridae
Description: lncRNA (ENSMCSG00000007957.1)
Source: RNAcentral